Molecule: non-coding RNA, 14818 nt
Organism: Phoenix dactylifera (date palm)
Lineage: Eukaryota; Viridiplantae; Streptophyta; Magnoliopsida; Arecales; Arecaceae
Source: RefSeq, a predicted model, not a curated record
CCCUGGACGGUUCUUGGAGGUCGGUCUGAAGCCUUCGAGCCCUCCCACCGUUUUGCUUUCUCCUCAGCGUCUUCUACUUCAUGCCUAUGGUUCCUUCUGCUUCUUCUCGUUCUUCCCCUUGGUUGGGGCUGCCAUUACUUUUUAGGUUUAAACGAAAGGCUGUGAUGAUUUCUUGGACGAGGGUUUUGUACGUUAUGAAUCAGGGAACGGCAACGAGAUCUGGCCCGCCGCCAUUGUGCAGGCAGCCGUUUGAUUUGUUGUAGAUAGUCUUCAGGCGAACAACACAAUGCUGGAUUAAGCGAUUAAUCCGAUCUUCCCUUCCUUUCUUCGCUUUUCUGAUUUCUGCUUUUUUUUUUCCUUUUUCAAGAUUUGGUUUUUCUAAGGUUUCUUUAAUUUCUUUACUAUAAUUAUUUCUUCAGAUCAGUAGUUUUUUUGGCUUAUCAAGAAUUUAUAGGAUUUGAAGGCCGAUAAAAGACUCGGGUUAGGGAUUGCAUCAGUAGCGGCUGGGUUUUGGAGAACCCAAAUUCUCAAAUUUUCUAUUCCAGUCAUUGAAAAUUAGGGAUCCUUGCAUGGUAUUAGGGUUUAUAACAUUUUGAAAGGUUUUGGAUCUACUUCUUGUUUUAGUUAAUCUUUCUUUCUUUUUUAAGGUUUUGCAAAUAUUCCUUUUACCUUCAGUACUUUAUUAUUUCCCUUCUAAUUCUCUUUAGUGAUGAUAUCAUGAGAGACAACUUGAAAAAUCUUCAAUGCUGUCCUCCAUACCAAAGUCUACGUUCCUGUACCUACGUGGUUCCACAAGCUAGUUUCUCCACAGCUUCUUUUCUAACCUCGCCUGCUCAGGGUCCGAUGAGGUUUUGUGACAACUCAAGAUUUGUCUUGCUAUUAUUGUUUUUUUUUUUUUUUUGGAAAAAGACUCCUUUAUGAAGGUGUUGCAGGAACUCACAUAGAAGCUUAUAUUGGAACUGGUACCAUAUAAGGUUAUGGACUUCUACUUUCACUCGAUAAUGUUCUUGAUCUCAUUGAUAGUCAAUUUAACCCUUCAAUUGUUUGCGCUGAUGCUUUAUCUGCUUUUAUUUUUCUUACUCUUCCUUACCCUUUCAAUGGUCAUACUUUUCUUAUUCUUUAUUCAUGUCUUGUGCACAAAGGAUUUUCCGGUAAGUGCAGAAAGCAACAUACAAGAAUUGUCAACACCCCCACCUUUCUGAUUUGGCAAGUCAGCUUUAGUAUUACUGUUAUUUUGGUUAUAGAAAAUUCGUUCUUUUAGUUGUUAAUUCUUGAAAUAGUAGUUCUUGCUGAGAAGUUUUGGAUUUUUUUCCCCCUGCAUAGUGGCUGGAUUUAAUCGUUUUCACAGAGGUCAUACAACUGUCCGUCUAUGACCAAAGGUUUUUCUGGUAUCCCCAUUUUUCCUUUUCCUUUUUUCUAUUGAGCCUCCUUCAGAUAGUUAGAAUAUGAUAGCAAUAAAUUACUCUCAUGCAAAUUUUUGCAUAGAAUUUAGCAGUUGAUAUCUAAUGCCAAAAUGUCUUAUGACCGAUUUCCCUGCAUAUCCCUGGGCCAUGAAUUCUUGUGAAGUUUUCAACUAACAAUUUAGAAGUGCUGCAGAGUUUGAAAAUAACUUACAUGUUCUCAUUCUCUUAAAUAUUUUAUUUCAAAUUUGACAUCAUCAUUUAUUUCACUUCUUAAUGUCGAACAGUCACAAGUCAUAAAUUAUAUGUUUAUUUCACAUGAAUGCAUUCGGUCUAACAAAUUAUCAUAUUGUCACUCUGACAAGUUGAUGAACAGCACUAUAUGCUUCUCAAUAUGGUACAAAAUAUGAUGAAGGAUUUUGAUGUGGAUCUUGUUGAGAUUCAUAGUUUUAUGAGUCUUGUCUAUAAUGUGGUGCAGAAAUUUGAUAUUCUUAUGAUUAUGAUGCUAUAAUAUAAGUUACAUUUGCCUUUGUCUUGAUCUUUGAGCUGCCACAAGGUGGAUACGCCUGUAUUUUUGUGUUUGUGCAUGCACACGCAUAUGCUUGCAGUCAUAGCUAUUUGGGUUUGUUGACUUGUAAUGGUGGCGUUUUUUUUGGGUUAAUGUGGUGGCCUUUUGGUAUGUAUUUUUCUUGUUCUAACAGUAAUCCCUCGUUGCUUUUCUUUAUAUUGUAGAAGUUGCUCCCUGAGCUCUGCUUUGUGAGUUCUUUGUGUAAUGCAGGCGAGUUGCUUCUCUCUUUCUUAGUUUUAUCUGACCACGGGAGACGGUAUCCUUAUGUGCUAGACUAAAAACAUUGAACAUAAUUACCAUAACCAUCCAGCCUUAUCCCAACUGUUUGAAUGUAAUUGCAUUUACUUUUGUUUUAUGUAUAGAUGUAACCUCGAGGUUCAGUUUAUUCAGGUAGUUCAGCUUGUAAUGACUUUCUUUACAUGAACUCCAGUAUUCUGUGCAAUGAUUUUAAUUCUGUGGAAAGGCAAAAUAUUUCUAGUGACUGAUACUACCUUAUCAGGUUUUCCUGCAAGAUCAAGGUUUAUAUUUAUUUGUUUGGUUAUUUUAGCCAAUGUCUUUCUUUAAGUUGCUGGAUAUACAAUAUUUUUUUUCCUUUUUAGUAAGUGUAUGAGGUUCUUUCUUUUUGGAGAUAUGGAAGAAAGUUUUCCUCAUCUUUAUUUCUCUUCCCACCCUAGAGCACACCUACCUUUUUUUUGUCAUGCAGUCUUUAUGUGCGCAGUAACCUGUGUAAGGGCAAAUAAAAGUAUGAUAUACAACGUGAUCUUUUCUUUGUCUCCUUCAAGAUUAAGUAUGGAGUUUAAUGCAAAACGUGGUUGGGUAAAACUAUGGCUGAUGAAUAAAUGUUUGAACUAAAGCUUAAUAGUGACCUGUAGGCAGUCACUUUUUGCGUCUGUAAAUGUGCUGACAUCUCUAGAUGCUCUAUGAUGAUUGUUUCUAUAAAUUGGCUAUUUUUUUUCUAUAUCAUUUGGACUUCAUCGAAUGACACUUAAAAGUAUCAGUUGUGGAGAUUUCCGUGUUAUGCUAGUGCUAUUCUUUCGCUCUUAUUCUCUCAAUAAUUUGUAUGCAAGUAUAUAUGUAUGUAAUGAGGCAAUGGUGGCUGUCUUGUGGGGGCUACUUAUGAGAAUUGUUUGUGAUGGAAGACCACUGCAGAGAAAAUAGAGAAGGAAGAAGAAGAAGAAGAAAAGACGAGGAGAAGGGAGAAGAAGAGAAGAGGAGAAAGAGGCCAAUUUUAUUCAAUUCUUUAAUGCCCUAAUUCAUGAGAGGGGUGGCCUUUAUAUAGGUUUUACAUCAGGUCAAUCAAUUGGCGAUAUACCAAACUUGGACCCUUACAUCAACUCAAUCAAUUGACCAAGUCAAUUGAUUGAUUACAUACCAAAAUCGAUCCAAUCAUUCGAUCCAAUUACAUGACUUAACAGCUAACCUAAUUGAUUUAUUUAAUAACAAACAACUGACCAAGUUGACUUGAUUAAAAGCAAAUGACCAAAUUGACUCGAUCAAACAAAAGCAAAAUGCAGAAAAUAAAAUGACGCAGACUAGAUUGGACCCAAUCCUAGGCCCGACUCAAUCGGGUGGCUCAAAGUCAUCUUCCAGCCACAAUGAUGUCAAUCCCUGGUGCGAACACAAGUGAGUGGCUCUGAUGGCGCGAUCAUCUAAAUGAAUAGCUUUGAUGUCCCCAUCAACUCCUCCCAGAUGAAAAAAAUUUGACCUCGUCGAGGACAGAUUUAGUUGACUGUCGUACUGCUCCAGAAGAUCAGGGUCAAGACGAUGUAACGCAGCUCUCGAAAUUCAUGCACAUCAGACUCUAGUCGGCCUUUCCACCGAACAAGGUAACGUUGGUAUCCACCAUUCCUGGUUGACAUAAUCUGCUCAUCUAAUAUAUGUUCUAUUUGUUCUCUGCGUGCAUUAAAUUUUGGAGGUGGCGGCUUAACAACCGAUAACAGGUCUGGGUGAUCAACAAGGGCAGGGGUGUGUCAACAAAGGGGUCAGAAGGAAUAAUUGCUGUCUUUUUGUAGGGGACUAAAUCUUCAAUAUUAAAUGUUGUACUAAUUCUAUAGUCCUCAGGAAGAUUCACAACAUAAGCAUUCGAACUGAUUUUCUUCAGGACUUUGAACGGUCUCGCACUACGAGCUUGCAAUUUUUUGAACGUUUCCGAAGAAAGUCGUUCAGGCCUAAUUCGUAUCAUGACAUAAUCUCCUACACUUAGCUCUUGAUAACGUCUGUGCAAAUCAGCAAGAAAUUUAUAUUUUCAGUUAUUAAAGUGAAUGCUUUUGCUGAUUUCUUGAUGCAAUGAAUGCAGGUGCGAUGCAAAUGACUGUGUAGACUCAGACACUCUAUGCUGAUAAGAUAUGGGGAUCAGGUUUAUGGGCUGCCUAGGUUUGUAACCGUGCACCACUUCGAAUGGACUCAUGUUUAUGGACUUAUUGACCGAACUAUUAUAUGUAAACUCGGUUGUCGGUAAUACUAAAUUUCAGGUCUUAGCAUGUUCAUCGACAAGGCAUUUUAAUAGGUUUUCAAGACUACGACUGACAACUUCAGUCUGGCCAUCAGUUUGAGGAUGAUAAGCAGAAGAAAAUUUCAGCUUGAUGCCCAUCAUGUGCCAAAGAAUUUUUCAGAAGUAACUCAUAAUUUAAUAUUCCUAUCAGACACAAUAGAUUUGGGUAGGCCAUGGAGUCUAACGACUUUGUCGAAAUAGAGUUUGGUAAUUCUAGAGGCAUCGGAAGUCUUAGAACAGGAAAGAAAAUGAGCCAUCUUUGAAAAACGAUUCACAACCACAAAAAUGGAAUCAUGCUUGGUAGAAGUACGUGGAAGCCCUAACACGAAGUCCAUACUGACAACUUGCCAUGGACACUUGGAAAAAGGUAGUGGACUGUACAUACCAGUGUUCUGUUUACGUUGUUUAGCUAGAUGACAUGUGCGACACUGGCUGACAAUUUUGGCCACAUUUCUUUUGAGACUUGGCCAGAAGAAACGCCUCUCCACCAUUUCGAUGGUUGUCUCUCCCAAAAUGUCUGGAAAGUCCUUCAGCAUGUAUUUUUUUAUACUAUUAAAAUUUAUCAAUGGAGUUCGAGGGAUACACAAUCGGUUGGAGCAAAAGAAAUAAUCAUUUUGCAGAAAGAAAUCAUUUUGUUCUCUUUCUACUCCGUCCUGCAGGGUUAGGUAUAUUUUACUAAAGUCAGGACAAGUGGCAUAUUGUUUUCUGAUCCUCUCAAAGCCAAUCACUUCAGUGCUCAUCACGGAUAGGAGAAAGAUCCGUCGACUGAGUGCGUCAGUAGCUUUGUUCUCAACCUCAGCCUUGUGCUUCAAGACAAAGGUGUAAGCUUGGAGAAACUCGACCCAUCAGCCGUGUCUAUGGUUCAGUUUCUUUUGGGAGUUGAGAUAUUUUAACGCCUCGUGGUCUGAUAUUCUAAGGGUGUCUCUACUGAUUUUGAGAAGGUAAGCGCGAUAUUAGAUUGGCCUGAGCCUAAGUCUCUAUUGGAAGUACGUACUUUUUAUGGGUUGGCCACUUUGUACUGCCGCUUCAUUAGGAGCUUUAGUUCGAUAAUGUCUCCUAUCACUGAUUGCAUGAAGAAAGAAGACUUUAUCUGGAUAAAGUCUACAUCCCAAGCAUUUCACGAAAUUAAGAAAAGGAUGACAGAAGCUCCUGUCUUGCGCCUCCCUGAUUUCACAAAAGUAUUUGAGGUCACUUGUGAUGCCUCUGGCGUUGGUAUAGGUUGCGUGUUAAGCCAAGAAGGUCAUCCUGUUGCAUUCUUCAGUGAAAAGUUAAACGAUAGUAGGUUACGUUACUUUACCAAUGACAGAAUUCUUUGCGGUAGUGCAAGCCUUGCGAUAUUGGCUACACUAUUUGCUACCACGAGAGUUUGUCUUAUAUUCCGACCACGAGACUUUAAAAUAUCUCAACCUACAAAAAAACUGAACCAUAGACAUGGCUAAUGGGUCGAGUUUCUCCAAGCUUAUAUCUUUGUCUUGAAGCACAAGGCUGGAGUUGAGAACAAAGCUGCCGACGCGCUCAGUCGACGGAUCUUCCUCCUAUCUGUGAUGAGCACGGAAGUAAUAUGCUUUGAGAGGAUCAGGGAACAGUACGUCUCUUGUCUGGAUUUUAGAGAAAUAUACCUGACCCUGCGUGAUGGAGUGGAUCGAAACGAACGAUUUCUUUCUGCAAAAUGAUUCUCUUUCAAUCCAAUCGAUUGUGUAUUCCUCGAACCUCAGUGAGAGAUUUUUUAAUAUGGAAAAUAUAUGUUGGAGGACUUUCUGGACAUUUUGGGAGAGACAAAACUAUCGAAAUGGUGGAGAGGCAUUUUUUCUGGCCAAGUUUCAAAGAGACGUGGCCAAAAUUGUCAGCCAGUGUCGCACCUAUCUUCUAGCUAAACAACGUAAACAGAACGCUGGUCUGUACACUCCACUACCUGUUUCCGAGUGUCCAUGGCAAGAUGUCAGUAUGAACUUCGUGUUAGGGCUUCCACGUACAUCUACCAAGCACAAUUUCAUUUUUAUGGUUGUGGAUUGCUUCUCAAAGAUGGCUCAUUCUCUCCUGUUCUAAGACUUCUGAUGCCUCUAGAAUUGCCGAACUCUAUUUUGAUGAAGUCGUUAGACUUCAUGACCUUCCUAAAUCUAUUGUAUCUGAUACGGACGUUAAAUUUAUGAGUUACUUUUGAAAAAUCCUUUGGCACAUGAUGGGCACCAAACUGAAAUUUUUCUCUGCCUACUAUCCUCAAACCGAUGGCUAGACUGAAGUUGUCAAUCGUAGCCUUGGAAAUUUGUUGAGAUUUCUGGUAGGUGAACAUGCUAGGACCUGGGAUUUAGUGUUACCGACAGCUGAGUUUGCAUAUAACAAUUCUGUCAACAAGUCCAUAGGCAUGAGUCCGUUUGAAGUAGUGUACGGUUACAAACCUAGGCAGCCUAUAGGCCUGAUCCCCAUGUCUCAUCAACAUGGAAUGUCCAAGUCUGCACAGUCAUUUGCAUCGCCACCUCUAAAAUUUCAUGCACGCAGAGAACAAAUAGAACAUAUAUUAGAUGAGCAGAUUAUGUCAACCAGGAACGGUGGAUACCAACGCUACCUUGUUUGGUGGAAAGGCCGACCAGAGUCUGACGUGACGUAGAUUUUUAAAGUCGAGUUGCAGCGCCUUGACCAUGAUCUUCUGGAGCAGUACGACAGCCGGCCAGAUCUGCACCUGACGGGGUCGAGUUUUUUCUACUUGGAAGGAGUUGAUGGGGACAUCAGAGCCGCUCGGUCAGACGAUCGAGCCAUUAGGGCCGCUCGUUCGCGUUCGCACUAGGGGUUGACAUUAUUAUGGCUAAGAGAUGAUCUUGAGCCACCGAUUUGAGUCAGGCCCGGAUUGGAUCCAUUUGAGUCUGCUUCAUUUUUAUUUUCUGCAUUUUACUUUUGUUUGAUCGAGUCAAUUGGGUUAUUUGCUUUUAGUCAAGUCAAUUUGGUCAGUUGUUUUGUUAUUAGACAAGUCAAUUGAGUUAGCUGUUAAGUCAUGUAAUUGAGUCGAGUGAUUGGAUUGAUUUUGGUAUGUAAUCAAUCAAUUGACUAAGUUAGUUGAUUGAGUUGAUGUUAGGGUACAAGUUUGGUAUGUCGUCAAUUGAUUGACCUGAUGUAAGGCCUAUAUAAAGGCCACUCCUCUCAUGAAUUAGGGCAUUGAAGAAUUGAAUAAAAUUGGCCUCUCUUUCUCCUCUUUCCUCCACUUCUAUUCUUCUUCCUUCUCCUCCUCUUUUCUUCUUCCUCUUCCUUCUCUAUUCUCUCUGCAGUGGUCCUCCAUCCUCCAUCAGUUUCUCAGGAAACUGACCUGCAACCAUUGUUAAAAAUUUUGAGGUUGCAAGGGAGGCAAAUCUUCUGGUCUUCCUCCAAGCCUCAAAUCCUAGAUCCGUGGUUUGUUUAAUGCUUGACUUGUGCGUGUCUCCUCUGACAACAGGCAAUGCAACUCUGGAGGAUCUGCUGGCUCAAUGCAGCCAUUGUUAAAUUGUCCUGUUUGAUUGAAGGAAGGAUUUCUAUGACCCCCAAAUCCUAAUGAUGUGGUUGGUUUUCUUUCUCAAACUUAUGCUAAGGCUUUUGAAUGGUUGGUUGCUUUGAAGUGUUGGUGCUUGUGAUCCUGGUGAUGUGAUGCUUCUUUCUUUCUUUGUUUCUUCUCUCUUGCUUUGAAGUAGUGUUAUUGUUGCUGCUUUUGUUUGAGAGGUUGGUUCUUUUGGUGCUUGUGAUCAUGGUGAUGCCAUGCUUCUUUCUUUUUUUUGUUUCUUUUCUCUCUUGCUUUGAGUGUUGCUGGUGUUGGUGUUAUUAUUGUUGUUGCUGCUAUUGUUGGCGAUGUUGUUGUUGGUGCUGAUGUUGUUGUUUUUACUGCUACUGCUGGUGUUGUUUCUGCUGCUAUUGUUGUUGCCAUGGUAUGCCGUACUAGCUUAAACCAGACGGUACAGGGGACACCGAACCAUAUCAGUUUGGUACCAAUACUCGGUACGGGUGGCGUACAGGCUUUUGGUACGUCAAAAAAAUCUCGUACCGUACCGUAUCGACACUGUGCUAGUGUGGCAUCGGUAUGUGGUUUGGUUCUGAGACGGCGAACCUUGGUUGUUGCUGUUAUUGGUGUUGUUUUUGCUGUUGUUGCUGUCAGUGCUGUUAAUGAUGAUAUUCUUAUUGCUAUUGUUCUUGUUCUUGUUCUGCUGCUGCUGCUGCUAUUCUUGGUGUUAUUGUUGUUGUUGCUAUUGCUGCUGCUGUUGCUGUUCUUGGUGUUGUUAUUGAUGUUGUUGCUAUUGCUGCUGCUGCUGCUGCUGCUGUUCUUGGUGUUGUUAUUGCUGUUGCUGCUAUUGCUGCUAUUGCUGCUGCUGCUGCUCUGCUGUUGUUGCUGUUAUUGUUCUUUGAGAUGGGUAAAUUCAUUCUCUCUCUCUGUUGCUGUUAUUGUUCUUUUACCUUGUUUCUUUGCUUCUUGAUUUCUUUGCGGUUAGGAUGAGGGUUUUUCUACAUUGUGGAGUGGAAAAUGGCUUCUUCUAAUAGCAAGGCAAUCUUGAAUGGUUUGCUGCUGUUCUCCAGACAACUGGAUGCUGCCGUCAGGGUUUAAUUGUGGAGAGUCUUCAGACUAACAACUCAAUGCUACAUUAAACAAUGAAUCUGAGCCUCCUCUUCCUCUUCCCUUUUAUGGCUGUAACGAUUUCUGUUUGUUUUUUAAGAAUUUGCUUGCUUAAUUUUUUAACUGUUUUUUAUUUCUUUUGAUGAGUUAUUUACAUGUCUUUUAAUGAAAGAUUCUCAGACGUUUAUUUUGGUUGUGGUAAAUUAGGUACUUUUGUUCAGUAUCAUGAUUCUCAAAUAUGUUUUCAUUUUUUUAUUUGUCUUCUCUUGCUUCUGUUCUUCAAUUUCUUGCUGUUAGAUUUAUAAGAAGAAACCGUGAUGACUGGGUGAAGGUUUGAUGCAUUAUGAAGCGGGAAACAACUAUUUCUGACAGAAAGGCAAACUUGAAUGGUAUUCUGUCCCGCUGGCAUCUGAUUUGCAGCCAUUUCAAUUCAGUUGCAGGGAAUUCUAAACUAAGUAAUGUUUGGAUGACUUUGAGCAUGCUCUUCCUUUCCCCUUUCUCUGUUAGAUUUAUAAGAAGAAACCGUGAUGACUGGAUGAAGAUUUGAUGCAUUAUGAAGCAGGAAACAACUAUUUCUGACAGAAAGGUAAACUUGAAUGGUUUUCUAUCCUUGCAGCCAUUUCAAUUCAGUUGCAGAGAAUUCUAAGCUAAAUAAUGCUUGGAUGAAUUUGAGCAUCCUCUUCCUUUCCCCUUUUUCUGUUAUUUUGGUUUUCUUCAAGAUUUUGGUUUUUAACGUUGCUUUGAUUUCAUUAAUAUUAUUUAUGUUUCUGAUCAGUUGUUCCUGUGUUUUUUAAUGAACAGUUCUCUUUUUUUUGGUUGUUGAAAAUAAGGAAUCAUUUGCUCAGUAUCAAGGUUCUAUAAUGUUGUUUUUAGUUUUUGAAUCUACCGUUUCCAUCACUUGUCCUCGGUAUUCUCGACUCAUCUUAUUUGCUUUUACAUUUUUUUUAACACCAUAUUUUCCUAGGAGACAGGUUUUGGUCUUGCAUGGUUUCCUUUUACCUCCAGCACGCUUUAUUCUGUUCCUUUCUUUUUCUUGACUAAUAAUAUGACAAAAGACAAUGUGAGAAACUCCAAUGUCCUAUUCUAGGAUGCUGUACUAACCGGGUUCCAUAAGCAGGUUUCUGUAGCACUUUUCUUCCAACAUGGCAAGCUUAGAGGCUGCCCAGGGUUUGUGACAACUUCAAGCUGUAUCUUGUUAUCAUUAUUUUUCUAGAAUCCUUUAUGCAGGAGUUACAAGUUCCCUGCAUAGAAAUUUCUCUGUUGCUGGUAUUACAUGAGGUGAGCCACUUCAACUUUUCCUUGAUGAUGUCCUUAAUCUCAGUAACAGUCAAUACCAUCCUUGAAUUAUUUAUGCUGCUGCUCUAUCAAAAUGUUGCUAAUUUGCUCUUUUUUUGGCAGGAAGUGGUAAUUUGCUUUACUUAUAUUUUUGUACACUUCAAGCACCUGGAUCAUAUUCCCUAUCCAUAUUGUUCCGGAAUGCUGAACUUGUGACUGACCAUGAUUAGCUUUAAGAUUUGUUAUUUGCUCCUCAAGAAGCUCUUAUGAUCUGCAGGGCAAGGACUGAUUAUGCUGCAAAGUGGAAAUAACAAUGGCUUAUACAUCUACCUCUAACAGUAAGACAAGCUUGGACUGUCUGCUAAUUUGCGGACAGCCAGUUGCAGCUUUUUGCAGAUAGGAUGCCUGAGAAAUUGGCUGGUAAAAGUUUUGGAAUUUUUUUUCCCUGCUUAAUGACUGGAUUUAAUUGUUUUCACAGAGGUCAUACAACUGUCUGGCUAUGACCAAAGGUUUUUCUGAUAUCCACAUUUUUCCUUUUCUUUUUUUUCUGUUGAGCCUCCUGCAGAUAGUUAAAAUAUGAUAACAUUAAAUUAUUCUCAUGCAAAUUUUUGCAUAGAAUUAAGCAGUUGAUAUCUAAAGCGAAAAUAUCUUAUAACUGAUUUCCCUGCAUGUCCCUGGGACAUGAAUUCUUGUGAAGUUUUCAACUAACACUUUAGAAGUGCUGCAGAGUUUGAAAAUAACUUACAUAUUCUCAUUCUCUUAAAUAUUUUAUUUCAAAUGUGACAUCAUAUUUUUCACUUCUUAAAGCCGAACAGUCACUAGUCAUAAAUUAUAUGUUUAUUUCACAUGAAUGCAUUCGGUCUAACAAAUUAUCAUCUUGUCACUCUGACAAGUUGAUGAGCAGCACUAUAUGCUUCUCAAUAUGGCACAAAAUAUGAUGAAGGAUUUUGAUCUGGAUCUUGUUGAGAUAGUUUUGAGUCUUGUCUAUAAUGUGGUGUGGAAAUUUGAUAAUUCUUAUGAUUUUUGAUACUAUAAUAUAAGUUAUAUUUGCCUUUCUCUUGAUCUUUGAGCUGUCACAAGGUGGAUACACCUGUAUUUUUGUGUUUGUGCAUGCACACACAUAUGCUUGCAGUCAUAGCUAUUUGGGUUUGUUGACUUGUACUGGUGGUGUUUUUUUUGGUUACAUGUGGUGGCCUUUUAGUAUGUAUUUUUCUUGUUCUAGCUGUAAUCCCUUGUUGUUUUUCUUUAUAUUGUGCAAGUUGCUCCCUGAGUUCUCCUUAGUGAGUUCCUUGUGUAAUGCUGGCAAGUUACUUCCCUCUUUUUUAGUUUUAUCUAACCACGGGAAAUAUUAUCCUUAUGUGCUAGACUAAAAACAUUGAACAUAAUUACCAUAACCAUCCAGCCUUAUCCCAACUGUUUGAAUGUAAUUGCAUUUACUUUUGUUUUAUGUAUAGAUGUAACCUCGAGGUUCAGUUUAUUCUGGUAGUUCUGCUUGUAAUAACUUUCUUUACAUGAACUCCAGUAUUGCAAUGAUUUUAAUUCUGUGGAGAGGCAAAAUAUUUGUAGUGACUGAUACACGCCUAUCAGGUUUUCCUGCAAGAUCAAGGUUUAUAUGUAUUUGUUUGGUUAUCUUAGCCAAUGUUUUACUUUAAGCCGCUAGAUAUAUAAUUUUUUUUCCUUUUUUAGUAAGUGUACGAGGCUCCUUCUUUUUGGAAAAAAAAAUCUGCUUUAGAAGAAAGAAAGUUUUCUUCAUAAUUAUUCUCUUCUCACCCUAGAGCACACCUACCUUUUUUUGUUACGCAGUCUUUAUGUGCACGGUAACCUGUGUAGGGGCAAAUAAAAGUAUGAUAUACAACGUGAUCUUUUGUCUGUCUCCUUCAAGAUUAAGUGUGGAGUUUAAUGCAAGAAGUGGUUGGGUAAAACUUUGGCUGAUGAAUAAAUUUUUGAACUAAAGCUUAAUAGUGACCGGUAGGCACUCACUUUUUGCGGCUGUAAAUGUGCUGACAUCUCUAGACUCUCUAUGACGCUCCUGGCUAUUGUUUUCUAUAAAUUGGCUAUUUUUUUCUAUAUCAUUUGGACUUCAUCGAAUGACACUUAAAAGCAUCAGUUGUGGAGAUUUCCGUGUUAUGCUAGUGCUAUUCUUUCUCUCUUAUUUCUCUCAAUAAUUUGUAUGCAAUUAUAUAUGUAUGUAAUGAAGCAAUGGUGGUUGUCUUGUGAGGGCUAUUUAUGAGAAUUGUUAGCCCAUUUCCUUGUCUCUGAAUGUCUUCUAAAAUGGUAGGCGAAGCAACUCGAGGGUUUCUUAGGCAACUGACCUGCAACCAUUGUUAGAGAUUUUAAGGCUGGAAGGGGGAGGCAGAUCUUCUGUUUCCAGGCCUCAAACCCUAGAUCUGUGAUUUGUGCGUGUCUUCUCUGACAACAGGCAAUGCAACUCUGGAGGAUCUGCUGCUCAAUGCAGCCAUUGUUAGAGAUCAUGGGCUGGAAAGGGGAGGCAGAUCUUCUGUUUCCAGGCCUCAAACCCUAGAUCUGUGAUUUGUGCGUGUCUUCUCUGACAACAGGCAAUGCAACUCUGGAGGAUCUGCUGCUCAAUGCAGCCAUUGUUAGAGAUCAUGGGCUGGGAGGGGAGGGAAAUUGUCCUGUUUGAAGGAUUUCUAUGAGCCCAAAACCCUAAAUCUGUGAUUGAUUUCUCUCUCGAACUUAUGCUAAGGGUUUUGGGAGGUUGGUUGCUUUGAAGUGUCGGUGCUUGUGAUACUGGUGAUGUGAUGCUUCUUUCUUUGUUUGUUUCUUUUUCUCUCUUGUUUUGAAGUAAUGUUAUUGUUGCUGCUGUUGUUUGAGAGGUUGGUUGUUUUGGUGCUUGUGAUCAUGGUAAUGUGAUGCUUCUUUUUUUGUCUCUCUCUCUCUUGCUUUGAAGUAGUGUUGCUGUUGUUUGAGAGGUUGGUUGCUUUGGUGCUUGUGAUCAUGGCGAUGCAAUGCUUCUUUUUUUCUUUCUUUUCUCUCUUGCUUUGAAGUGUUGUUGGUGUUGGUUUUAUUGUUGCUCUUGCUGCUACUAUUGUUGCUGCUGGUGUUGCUGUUGCUGCUGCUGCUGCUGGUGCUGUUGCUAUUGUUAUUGGUGUUGUUUUUGCUGUUGCUGCUGCCAUUGUUAUUGCUAUUGCCGGUGCUGUUACUGUUGCUAUUUUUAUUGGUGUUGUUCUUGCUGCUGGUGCUUUUGUUAUUGCUGCUGCUGCUACUCUUGCUGUUUCUGUUAUUAUUGCUGCUGCUUUAAUUGUUCUUUGAGAUGGGUAAAUUCAUUCUCUCUCUUUGUUCUUUGCUUUCUUUUUCCUUAUUUCUGUUACGGUUAGGAUGAGGGUUUGUCUAUGUUAUGGAGUUGAAAACAGCUUGUUCUAAUAGCAAGCCAUCUUGGACGAUUUGCUGCUGUUCUCCAGGCAACUGGACGCAGCCGCCUGGGCUUAGUUGUGGAGAGUCUUCAGACUGACAACUCAAUGCUACAUUAAACAAUGAAUCUGAGCCUCCUCUUCCUCUUCCCUUUUAUGGCUGUACUAAUUUCUGGUUAUUUCUCCAAGAAUUUGCUUGCUUUAAUUUCAAAGUAAAACUAUGGCUGAUGAAUGAAUGUACAAAAUAAACUACGGUUAUUUUUUUAAGAAUUUGCUUGCUUUAAUUUUCUUCCGUUUUAUGGCUGUACUAAUUUCCGGUUACCGUGCAGUCUUUAUGUGCACAGUAACCUGUGUAAGGGCAAACAAAAGUGUGAUACACAAAAUGGUCUUUUCUUUGUCUCUUCCAAGGUUAAUUGUGGAGUUUGAUGCAAGAAGGGGUUGGGUAAAACUAUGGCUGAUGAAUAAAUGUUUUAACUAAAGUUUGAUAGUGACCUAUAGGCAGUCAUUUUUCGUGUCUGUACAUCUCUCGACACUCUAUGAUGCUCCUGGCUAUUGUUUUCUAUAAAUUGGCUAUUUUUUCUGUAUCAUUUGUACUUCAUGGAAUGGCACUUUAAAGUAUCUGUUGUGGAGAUUUCCAUGUUAUGCAAGUGCUCUUCUUUCUUUCUUCUUCCCUCAUUAAUUGUAGGCAAGUAUAUAUGUAUGUAAUGAGGCAAUGGUGGCUAUCUUGUGAGGGCUAUUUAUGAGAAUUGUUAGUUAGCUCAUUUCCUUUCCUCUGAAUGUCUUCUACAAUGAUAGGCGAGGCAACUUGAGGGUUUCUCAGGAUACUGACCUGAAACCAUUGUUAAAAGAUUUUGAGGGUGCAAGGGAGGCAAGUCUUCUGGUCUUCCUCCAAGCCUCAAACCCUAGAUCCGUGGUUUGUUUAAUGCUUCACUUGUGCGUCUCCUCUGACAACAGGCAAUGCAACUCUGGAGGAUCUGCUGGCUCAAUGCAGCCAUUGUUAAAUUGUCCUGUUUGAUUGAAGGAAGGAUUUGUAUGAGACCCUGAAUCUAAGUACCAGUCACACAAAAAUUAUAUGUCCAUGAGUUUGUAAGUUAUGAAAUUAACAUGUUUCUGUAAUCUUUAUUGUUUAUUCAAGGAUUAAAAGGUGAAAAA